UUUCUGUGGGGAAAAAAAAGCAGCAAGCUCAAGCGGCCAACAAGUCUUUACAGCAUCCCCAUUCCCCAACACCUCCGAUCUAGUAUCCCUCAAAGCUUCCAUGGAGAAGGCGCCAGGCACGAGCAUCGAGGCUAUCAUCCGACGGCUUAGGCUCCACCAGGCGCCUCCCUCCCCUUACUCCGGCGAUCCCUCAACAGCGGCGACCCCCGCCGCAGCCAACCUGUUUCAGCCGCGGAGAGCCGCCGUACUGGUCUGCCUCUUCCACGACGCUGCCGGCGAGCUGCGUGUCCUCCUUACCAAGCGCGCUUCCUCCCUCUCCACCCACUCCGGGGAGGUUGCAUUGCCCGGAGGAAAGGCAGAGGAGGGUGAUGCUGAUGAUGCAGCAACGGCAUUAAGGGAGGCAAAGGAGGAGAUUGGGCUUGAUCCAGCCUUGGUCACUGUCGUCUCCUCGCUUGAGCACUUCUUGUCCAAGCAUCUUCUGGUAGUUGUUCCUGUUGUUGGCAUACUCUCAGAUAUACAGGCUUUCAAACCUGUCCUUAAUGUUGAUGAGGUGGACGACAUUUUUGAUGUACCCCUAGAGAUGUUCCUCAAGGAUGAGCGCAGGAGAUCCGAGGAGCGAGAAUGGAUGGGGCAGGCGUUCACACUUCACCACUUCGAUUAUGAGAAAGGCGACAAGACGUAUGUAAUCUGGGGGCUGACUGCUGGCAUCCUGAUUCACGCGGCUUCAGUUGUAUACCAGCGGCCACCAGACUUUGCUGAGCGAAGGGUACAAUUCAACCUGCCGAAGUACUCACAGGAGUCUUCUCCAAUGCCAUGAUCAGGAUUAGGAUGCGCACUCAGUUACAUGCCUGAUUCAGCACACAGAAGACUACAUACACCAAAAGAAAUGCUGCGACGAUGAUCAUGCAGGCCGGGCCGCAUCAAGCAAUGGAUUACGAUGCAUUCGAUGGUGUGCAGCUUGCCACACACAGCGACUAAAAAUCAAACGUUCGACAAACAUAUUUGUAUUCUAUUCUUUGCAUAAUAAUACAUUGCAAGAACAUUAACAUUCAGAAAAUUAUUUGGUGCUAA
RNA transcript from Triticum aestivum (bread wheat), 1071 nucleotides. It is a transcript of the gene named nudix hydrolase 15, mitochondrial, with no coding region annotated. NCBI's taxonomy places the organism in Eukaryota, Viridiplantae, Streptophyta, Magnoliopsida, Poales, Poaceae. The transcript is spliced from 5 exons. The record is from RefSeq and is a predicted model, not a curated record.